RNAcentral lists this non-coding RNA (20 nucleotides) under Arabidopsis thaliana (thale cress). Lineage: Eukaryota; Viridiplantae; Streptophyta; Magnoliopsida; Brassicales; Brassicaceae. The record is from RNAcentral.
GAGAACGCUCAUACGGUGGA